This 450-nucleotide ribosomal RNA is filed under the name uncultured bacterium. RNAcentral describes it as "partial 16S ribosomal RNA". It matches the Rfam family "Bacterial small subunit ribosomal RNA", at positions 354 to 796 of the family's 1533-position model. The record is from RNAcentral.
GUGGGGAAUAUUCCGCAAUGGACGAAAGUCUGACGGAGCAACGCCGCGUGAGUGAUGAAGGUUUUCGGACUGUAAAGCUCUGUUGUUUAGGACGAAAGUGCCUGUUGCAAAUAGUUACAGGUAUUGACGGUACUGAACGAGGAAGCCACGGCUAACUACGUGCCAGCAGCCGCGGUAAUAUGUAGGUGGCAAGCGUUGUCCGGAAUUAUUGGGCGUAAAGAGCAUGUAGGCGGGAAUCUAAGUCUGUUGUGAAAAUGCGGGGCUCAACCCCGUAUUGCGAUGGAAACUGGGUUUCUUGAGUGCAGGAGAGGAAAGGGGAAUUCCCAGUGUAGCGGUGAAAUGCGUAGAUAUUGGGAGGAACACCAGUGGCGAAGGCGCCUUUCUGGACUGUGUCUGACGCUGAGAUGCGAAAGCCAGGGUAGCGAACGGGAUUAGAAACCCUUGUAGUCC